CGUGUAGGCGGCCUAGUGUGUCGGGCGUGAAAUCCCACGGCUCAACCGUGGAAGUGCACUCGAAACUGCAAGGCUGGAGUACUGGAGAGGAUGGUAGAAUGCUCGGUGUAGAGGUGAAAUUCGUAGAUAUCGAGCGGAAUACCGGUGGCGAAGGCGGCCAUCUGGACAGUCACUGACGCUGAGACGCGAAAGCGUGGGGAGCAAACA
Molecule: ribosomal RNA, 207 nt
Filed under: uncultured bacterium
Lineage: Bacteria
Description: partial 16S ribosomal RNA
Rfam family: Bacterial small subunit ribosomal RNA
Source: RNAcentral